This 1345-nucleotide ribosomal RNA is filed under the name uncultured bacterium. Its description in RNAcentral is "bacterial SSU rRNA". It matches the Rfam family "Bacterial small subunit ribosomal RNA", at positions 28 to 1381 of the family's 1533-position model. The record is from RNAcentral.
GAUGAACGCUAGCGGGAGGCCUAACACAUGCAAGCCGAGCGGUAUUGUUUCUUCGGAAAUGAGAGAGCGGCGUACGGGUGCGGAACACGUGUGCAACCUGCCUUUAUCUGGGGGAUAGCCUUUCGAAAGGAAGAUUAAUACUCCAUAAUAUAUUGAACGGCAUCGUUUAAUAUUGAAAGCUCCGGCGGAUAGAGAUGGGCACGCGCAAGAUUAGCUAGUUGGUGAGGUAACGGCUCACCAAGGCGAUGAUCUUUAGGGGGCCUGAGAGGGUGAUCCCCCACACUGGUACUGAGACACGGACCAGACUCCUACGGGAGGCAGCAGUGAGGAAUAUUGGUCAAUGGGUGCAAGCCUGAACCAGCCAUCCCGCGUGAAGGACGACUGCCCUAUGGGUUGUAAACUUCUUUUGUAUAGGGAUAAACCUACCCUCGUGAGGGUAGCUGAAGGUACUAUACGAAUAAGCACCGGCUAACUCCGUGCCAGCAGCCGCGGUAAUACGGAGGGUGCAAGCGUUAUCCGGAUUUAUUGGGUUUAAAGGGUCCGUAGGCGGACUUAUAAGUCAGUGGUGAAAGCCUGUCGCUUAACGAUAGAACUGCCAUUGAUACUGUAAGUCUUGAGUAUAUUUGAGGUAGCUGGAAUAAGUAGUGUAGCGGUGAAAUGCAUAGAUAUUACUUAGAACACCAAUUGCGAAGGCAGGUUACCAAGAUAUAACUGACGCUGAGGGACGAAAGCGUGGGGAGCGAACAGGAUUAGAUACCCUGGUAGUCCACGCCGUAAACGAUGCUAACUCGUUUUUGGGCUUUAGGGUUCAGAGACCAAGCGAAAGUGAUAAGUUAGCCACCUGGGGAGUACGCUCGCAAGAGUGAAACUCAAAGGAAUUGGCGGGGGCCCGCACAAGCGGUGGAUUAUGUGGUUUAAUUCGAUGAUACGCGAGGAACCUUACCAAGACUUAAAUGGGAAUUGACAGCUUUAGAAAUAGAGCUUUCUUCGGACAAUUUUCAAGGUGCUGCAUGGUUGUCGUCAGCUCGUGCCGUGAGGUGUUAGGUUAAGUCCUGCAACGAGCGCAACCCCUGUCACUAGUUGCCAUCAUUCAGUUGGGGACUCUAGUGAGACUGCCUACGCAAGUAGAGAGGAAGGUGGGGAUGACGUCAAAUCAUCAUGGCCCUUACGUCUUGGGCCACACACGUAAUACAAUGGCCGGUACAGAGGGCAGCUACACAGCGAUGUGAUGCAAAUCUCGAAAGCCGGUCUCAGUUCGGAUUGGAGUCUGCAACUCGACUCUAUGAAGCUGGAAUCGCUAGUAAUCGCGCAUCAGCCAUGGCGCGGUGAAUACGUUCCCGGGCCU